RNAcentral lists this ribosomal RNA (253 nucleotides) under uncultured bacterium. Its description in RNAcentral is "partial 16S ribosomal RNA". It matches the Rfam family "Bacterial small subunit ribosomal RNA", at positions 524 to 776 of the family's 1533-position model. The record is from RNAcentral.
UACGUAGGGGGCAAGCGUUGUCCGGAAUUAUUGGGCGUAAAGCGCACGUAGGCGGCUUUCUAAGUCAGGGGUGAAAUCCUGGAGCUCAACUCCAGAACUGCCUUUGAUACUGGAGAGCUUGAGUCCGGAAGAGGUGAGUGGAACUCCGAGUGUAGAGGUGAAAUUCGUAGAUAUUCGGAAGAACACCAGUGGCGAAGGCGGCUCACUGGUCCGGUACUGACGCUGAGGUGCGAAAGCGUGGGGAGCAAACAGG